UCCCUGGUGGCUCAGAUGGUAAAGCGUCCGCCCGCCAUGCGGGAGACCCGGAUUCGAUCCCUGGUUUGGGAA
Molecule: non-coding RNA, 72 nt
Organism: Bos taurus (domestic cattle)
Lineage: Eukaryota; Metazoa; Chordata; Mammalia; Artiodactyla; Bovidae
Source: Rfam